Molecule: long non-coding RNA, 677 nt
Organism: Morone saxatilis (striped sea-bass)
Lineage: Eukaryota; Metazoa; Chordata; Actinopteri; Moronidae
Exons: 3
Source: RefSeq, a predicted model, not a curated record
UCAAAAAGUGUUAUUAAUGCAUAUGUCUAUGUGGUGCAUAAUGUGAUAGUGUGAGAUUGUAACUGCAUGAUAUUGAGGCAUUCUGACUAUUGCAGCAACAAUUCUCACCAGUAUUGUUUACACAAAGAAGGAAGAGAAAAGUAAUCAGAGGAAGAGUCGGUUUAGAGCAAAGUCACACCGGAUCAUCAUGGCAGAGAAGAGAGGAGGGGAACAAAAAAAACAGCGUUCUGAGAGCAUCUGAGAGACGAGAUUUUGUCCUGUGUAGAGAGAGAUUGACUGUCUCAAUCAUCGAAUUAGGAUGUAUCUCAUUUGGGCGACUCUGCUCUUCACUUUGAAAAGCAACACUGCUAACACCGUUGCAUCUGAAGGGGCAGUCACAUCAACAGCAGAGGCCGGACUCUGUGUUGUUAUACCCUGUAAUUUUACUUCUGACCCUAACUUCAAUUUGUCAAGUGCAUUUUGGUACAAAUGCGAACAGAACUGUGAUGAUUCUAAUACAAACACCAACCUCAAUACUUUGUUCAAUGGACGAGUGUCACCGUUGGAGCCUGAUCUGAGUCAGAAGAACUGUGGCAGCAUCAUAAUCAAUGACCUCACUGUUUCAGACUCCGGAUCAUAUAAACUCCUGAAUGGAAUAAAUGAAACAUACAAUUAUACAGUAACUAUCACAGUAAGAG